GGCAGCAUUGAUCAAGUUAUGAUCCGAAGUACGAUAUAGUAAAUGCUGUGGUAAAACCAUCUUUCUUCCUGUCAUCAAUUCAAAAGGUGACAAUUUGGUAGUGUAGUAGAUUAUUUUCUGCAAACCAAUUAGUUUGAAUAACUAUCUGUUCCUGUCCAAAUUAAUGAUAAUAAAGUUGCGUGCACGCAGAAGUAAAUUCACACUGAGACACAGAGUUCAGGUUAAUGAAAGAACUUCGGAGAAGUUUAAUGGCUUCUAACAGAAAAUGGGUGCGCAGACCCUUAUAAAGGCAUUUUUACAUCACUGAAGAAUUCAAGAUAACAGCAAAUAAACACUAUUGAUUGGUUCAGGUGUUAAGUGGUUAGUUAGAUGCCCUCCCAUUUAGAGGUGAUGUCAUCCUUGACACGGGAGUUGACACAAGCACGAGGUGUCCACUCGAUGGGAGGGGUGCUUUGGCAGCAAUUUUGAGUAGUUGGCAUUAUUAGUUUCAAGCUUAGUUUUCAAGUUUUUUUUAGUAGAUACACAUUUUAUUAUUCAGCUGACACAUACUUUAUUGAGAUCAACAUGUCGCUCAGCAGCCACAAUGUUUCAUUCUUGAUGAACACAUUGUUCCGCUGACGCACAUUUCUUCCUGACAAAGCAUUCUCUUAUAAAUUCUAUAAUUCUACAACAGUCCCCCCUUAAAAUGUUAGUUACUAAAAAAACAACUUUAUUUGUUAAUACCAGAAGACUUGUUAGCCCAAAGACACAGAAACCCCAUGACCGCUAGCUUGGUGUUAUUGCAAAGUGCAUGUCUACCCCUAUCUGACCCUAACAGGCUGCAGCUCAUCUGUCUUAAUAAGCAUCAAACACUUCACUCCGUGGGUAACCCACAGCGGCUAGUCCACCACAUCUCCGCACGUGAGACUCGCCUGUAGAUACAGAUGCUGUCCCUGCGCUGGUUCCCUUCCUAGAAAAUCUGCACUUUAUCAGUAUAAGGGAGAGUUUGUAGCGAAAUACAGGGUGAGGUGAGAUCUUGAUCAUCGAUUGUCAGAUGAAUGAGAGUUAGUGUCGCUUGGUCUGUAGUCUUCUGUAAGAAUUUUCUAAAGCAUGGGAGGACACAACAAACGAGAAGAGCGAGAACAAAAAGGAAAAUUAGUAGAGCCAUACCAAUAUGGACUAAAGCUUUCUGCCAACCUGACAUCCAACCAAACCACCUUUCCCAGGGAUCUGUUACCCCAGAAUUCCUUUUCAACUCCUCUGAGAGUUUCUCUAACUUCGCUAUGGCCAUAGUGAUUUUACCAUUUGGACCUGUGUUUUCUGGGAUAUAAGUGCAACAAGUCAUGGUGUCAGGUAGUAUUUUACAUACACCCCCCUUUAGCUAGAAUCAUGUCUAAGGCCAUUCUGUUCUGGAAGGUCAUCUGGGAUGUGGCCUGCAACUGCUCGGCCAGGCCCUGGAGGGCAUCCCUGGUGUAGUUGACAAAACGCUGUUGGUUGUAAUAAAUGUAGUUAAUCCAAUUAAGGUUUUUGUUGGCAGUGACUAUAGUAAAAAGUGAUUCAAAACCUACAGCGACUUCAUCUCUAGAUUUAAAUUCAUUAGGCACCCCCCUAGGUACCCCAACGGCAUCUAUGUAAAUGUGGGGGUCAAAACUGCCUUUUACUGGGGUUUCGCGCCUCACUCUGGCUGGUGUAUGUGGAGGGUCGUAUGUGUCAUGAUGAUUAUCAGAAAUAAUAUGAAUGGGCAUGAUAACUUUGGCUAGGGUACACUCACCCCACCACUCAGUUUCCAGCCUAGAUCUUAACUGUAGAUCCCCACAUAACCAGUAAAUAUCCCCCAAUGACCUGGUAUGGUGUUGCAACAGGCGUAUAGGAACAGUUCUGUAGGUGGCACAAUAGCCAUUGGAAAAGUUACCCAUGAAUUUACCAAUCCCGUCAUAGCAUAACAAGUGUAAUUACCCUUGUAAAUCGUGAUUCCAUCUGGGGGUUUGACAUUUCCAAUUAAGAGGGGGUACUCUGCCGCCCAUGAUUCGCAGAGGGAUCUGUUGAAAUUAUAGCGGUAGGCAAAAAGACUGAGGAAGCAAUUCUCUAUCUCCAAAGGGAGAGUUAGAAGAACGGUGCCAAGAUGAGGUCGAGCACCACCGCACACAUAGCAUGCGGUUUUGUUAUGUUUAUUAGCAUUAUAUUUCAUCCACUCUAACCAUAGAUUGAUAUCAUUAUAACCAGUUUCAGUGGCCAUGGUGUCUUCGAAGGUGGGGUUAGCAAUGGCCAUCAUGUCCUUAAAAGACUGGAUAUGUUGUUUCAGUGGAUUUGGGACCAUAUGAACAGCCCCUUGCCACUCUGGAGAGUGGCACAUAUCUUUAAGAUAGAAAUGACCUAAUUUGUUAUAGGAACCACUUUUCCAAUACAUUCCCAUUACA
RNAcentral lists this long non-coding RNA (2396 nucleotides) under Pelobates cultripes (western spadefoot toad). Lineage: Eukaryota; Metazoa; Chordata; Amphibia; Anura; Pelobatidae. The record is from RNAcentral.